AGCUGUGUGGCUCAGUGGUAGAGUGCUUGCCUAACGUGUGAGGCACUGAGUUUGAUUCUCCACACACAUA
RNAcentral lists this transfer RNA (70 nucleotides) under Marmota monax (woodchuck). RNAcentral describes it as "tRNA.Val". The record is from RNAcentral. Lineage: Eukaryota; Metazoa; Chordata; Mammalia; Rodentia; Sciuridae.